UCUUUGACCCAUAAUAUUUACAAGUCUAUUUUAUAAAUUAUUUACAAUGUUCGAUCUCAAUGUAUUGAAACUCGUGUUAUUAUUAGGACAAACAAGAAAAGAGAAUAAUGCCGACUAGUUUACCGAAAGACUAUUAUAUGUUUUUCUUAUCUUUGAACGAAGAGUGGGGGGAAAGUUUAAGUAAAACGUUUUAGAUUAUUUUCAAUAACGUUACGAACAGUCAAGGUGAAAGGAUCAACGACACGUCACGAUCUAUCACGACACGACUCGUUUCGUUUAUUCUCCGUUAGUUGAUUUUCUAUCUUUCGCGAUCGUCAGUCUUACGUGGACAACGACGAAGAUGACGAAGAUGACGAAGAUGAAGAAGAAGAGGAAGACGAGGACAACACUCGACCGGCUUUACGUAUUUUCCUUACAGGUGUGUCGAGCACGAGCGUCCUGUCGAGAAACGAAUGCUAUUUAUUGUUUCGAUGAAGAACGCGACUGACGUGUCCUACAAAAUAAUUCUACAUCAGAAGUUUCAACAGUCGAAGUUUUCUAAACCUUACGUAUAUUAUUAGUAAGUCAUUCUUCGACGAGGAAGUAAGGUACAAAAGGAUCAAUUUGAAACAAUAUAAAACGUUUUAUUUUACCACUCAACGUGUUCGACCGGAACAAAGAUGAAACAAGACAUGGAAUGGCAAACGUUGUAAUUGCGAAACGCUUGAUAUACGCAGCCAUUAACGCGAAAGCCGUUCUUAUCGACUUCAAAGUUAUUCCUCUAUUCCUCUCGAUGUGACUACCCGCAUACCAACUGCAUAUUAAAAAAAAAGAAAAAAAAAAUACAAAAAAAAAGAGAGAGAGAGAGGAGAGAGAGAGAGAGAUUUAGGUAUCAACAAUUAUUUAUAGGAUAUAUCAAAAUUAAUUUCAUAUAUAUAUAUAUAAGCAAACGUUUGAUUAGAAACUUCAAAUAAUUACAAUUUAAUUUUAUUUAAUUUUCAGAAUUAUUUUCUUUUUCUAAUCAUUCAGUUGUUCGAUUCGUUCACUUAACGUCAAGUAGAAAUUGUUCUAGUUAUUUUCUUAACGCUCAUUAUGGUUAGACUCGAUCACCAGUGCAAGGUGACUUCCGACGUAUAGUUGUCAUUGUCGUCGUCGUUGACGUAAGUAGUUGGACCCAAGUCCACGUCGUAUAUUUUCUGACCCAGAAAGAGAUUCUCUCUCCCUCUCUCUUUAUAUCUAUACACGUAUAUCUUUGACGUGAAGUCCUAUGAUGUGGAGGGGGCUGCUCGCGACAAGUAAAGCUGAGAAACGAUUCCUUGAGGCGCGCUUAUUGCUUCAGAGACGAUAAAUGAGUCAACGAUUAAGACCAUCGUCAUCGUCAAGUAACCGUCACAUCUUUUUGGAUCUAGAUUACCCAAAAAGAUAUACAUACAUAUAGACAUGGAUCUCACACUUGUAUUAAAGAAAUAUAGGACGUUUUCGUUUAUGUCUUUUUUUAAGUUUGAAAUUUCUCUUUUAUAUAAGAAACAAUGAAAUAUAUCAAGUAGAAAUUAUAAAAUUACACUUUAAGAAUAAAUUCAAUUCUACUUUCUUUUGUAAAUUAUUUUUAAUAUCGUCGUUAAGCGGCCGAUGAUUGCGUAAGUGACAGUGAGUAAUUGUAGAUCAUAUAUAUUUUUUUUUCAUUUUGAGGUAUUACGUACUUUAAUGACGUAAAAUCAAUUUAAGAUAAGAU
This is a long non-coding RNA of Vespa mandarinia (Asian giant hornet), 1711 nucleotides long. The record is from RefSeq and is a predicted model, not a curated record. Lineage: Eukaryota; Metazoa; Arthropoda; Insecta; Hymenoptera; Vespidae.